CCUACGGGUGGCUGCAGUGGGGAAUAUUGGACAAUGGGGGCAACCCUGAUCCAGCCAUGCCGCGUGUGUGAAGAAGGCCCUCGGGUUGUAAAGCACUUUCAGUGAGGAAGAACGCCUGGUGGUUAAUACCCAUCAGGAAAGACAUCACUCACAGAAGAAGCACCGGCUAACUCCGUGCCAGCAGCCGCGGUAAUACGGAGGGUGCGAGCGUUAAUCGGAAUUACUGGGCGUAAAGCGCGCGUAGGUGGCUUGAUAAGCCGGUUGUGAAAGCCCCGGGCUCAACCUGGGAACGGCAUCCGGAACUGUCAAGCUAGAGUGCAGGAGAGGAAGGUAGAAUUCCCGGUGUAGCGGUGAAAUGCGUAGAGAUCGGGAGGAAUACCAGUGGCGAAGGCGGCCUUCUGGACUGACACUGACACUGGGGUGCGAAAGCGUGGGUAGCAAACAGGAUUAGAUACCCUUGUAGUC
RNAcentral lists this ribosomal RNA (465 nucleotides) under Vreelandella stevensii. RNAcentral's name for it is "partial 16S ribosomal RNA". It matches the Rfam family "Bacterial small subunit ribosomal RNA", at positions 338 to 795 of the family's 1533-position model. The record is from RNAcentral. Lineage: Bacteria; Pseudomonadati; Pseudomonadota; Gammaproteobacteria; Oceanospirillales; Halomonadaceae.